Molecule: long non-coding RNA, 1632 nt
Organism: Mus musculus (house mouse)
Lineage: Eukaryota; Metazoa; Chordata; Mammalia; Rodentia; Muridae
Product: predicted gene, 35440
Exons: 4
Source: RefSeq, a predicted model, not a curated record
CAAGCAGAGGAUGCCCUCUGUGCUGCCUUCCCUCCAGGUUUUAUGUUUGAUCAAAACAAGGGGAUAGACAGAAGAGGGAGCGGAGAAAAAUAGAGGGAUCGCCAGUAAAGCCGCUGAAGGAGAUUUCUCGUAAAAUGGUAAAGAACUCAGAAACUACUACUGACUGAGCAAAGACGAUGAAGCCACGGAGUGACACAUGCUAUCAUGACAUAUGUAAAAAGCCUAACCAUACAACACAGUGUGUUUCUCUACAGACACGCUCCUGGUUUCUCUGACUCUCAUGCUGCAUUCCUCGUCAUCACAUUGUAGCUGAUUCAUUUGUGAGCGGAAUCAACCACAGGACCAGGUGCUGUUCCAACUCCAAGACGAGCAAGAAGCCCGAUUCCAAGCGACGGCCGCAAGCAACGACACCACUAGGCAGGAUUUGUUUGCACAAUAACAAAUUGGCAAACCUGCUGGGUCUGGAAGACGGUUCUGUCUGAUGCUGCACCUUAGCAGAGCCAGAGGAAGACAAACCCAAGGCUCAUGGAAGCCAGAACACGGGGCUGCACCGAAGUGAACCCACAGUUUUCUCCUCAUGGUUUGCCUUACAGAUGGAACCAACUCUCCAGGCAUUUGUGGCUGGAACUAGGUUGGCGUAGCAGGUGGGUGGUGGUGCUGAGCAGGGAUAAAUGGAGCAGAUUGCCAUCCAAAAGCCAACUUUGAAGUCUUUACUGCUCACUGUAACCUCUGACUAACUGCCGUAAGAAGGGUGUAAGAACACUCACUUCUUCUGGCAACUCUAAGAAUUCAGUAGGUCAAUUGCUCAAUAAAUGUUAGUCAGUAUGACUACACUUAAGAUUCCCUAACAAAAGCCUCCAUGCAUGAGUGUAAGCAUAGUCCUUAAAAUACGAACUGACAUGAACAGCCCCUAAUGUUACAUCCUUAGAUCAUGUCUUAUGUAUGUAGGUCAACCAGUAUGUGUUAAUGCUUUCUUCCUUAGAGAACCGAGCAGCGUCAACCUUGUUAUAACAACAGGAAUCUGUGAAUUAAUGCUCUUUCCACAGAUCCAAUGUUAUCCACGUGGCAUUGACUAAAACACAGCCACAUCUCAACAUACAUAGUCUUUUCCAAGUUCAUUCCAUCCUUUUAUUUAUUCAACCAAUAUUAACCAUAGACACAAAGGCGUCUCUCCUAAAAGGAUUUAGAGACAUGACUAUAGGAAAUUAACUGGAAUUAAAUGAGGGUGGGACCCUGAUUCAUUAAGACUGUAGGGUUAAUCUGUCUGUCUGUCUGUCUGUUCAUUUAUUUACUUUUUAUUGACUAUUUGGGAUUCUCACAUCACAUAUUUAAUCACACCUAUCUCCUAGUCCACCCAUGUCUGUCCUGCCUCUCCUGAGAUCUCCCUGCCAAUAAAAGAAGGAGGGGAUGGGAGUCCAUUUUGUGUUGUCUAUAUCCUCACUGAAGCAUUCCUAGUCUUAGGAGAAAGACUUAGGAAAAAGCCAUCAAUUGAGGAAAGGCUUGCAGCUGCUGGCAGUGGGUGGGGCCAGCUCUCUUGUGAGGGGUAAGCACAACUCUCCCACUCCCACUGACGUCACCAUGGUAGAAGCUCAGACCACGGACAUCUGUCUGGGCUUCAGUGGUAACACAGGC